This 868-nucleotide long non-coding RNA is filed under the name Olea europaea subsp. europaea. The record is from RNAcentral. Lineage: Eukaryota; Viridiplantae; Streptophyta; Magnoliopsida; Lamiales; Oleaceae.
AACUCACAAACAAUACUUUGCAUGUUGCAACACAGAUUUCCAUAUUCCUUUCCAGCAAGUUGUUGUUGACUUUUAGCCCUUUAUAGACCUUUAGUUAAUACAAAAGUCCAGACCUUGCUCAGUCUCGGAUAAAUAAAGUUCAGUUCAAAACCUUCAGAUGUAAUGUAUAAUGUCAGCUUAAGAAGGUAUAAACCAGUCCAACAGCAUGUUUUUGAGAAUACUCAAAUGCACAAAUUGCCUGACACACAUUGUCCCGAUAAAGCUUCAUAUUGCAUCUGCUUUUGCAACUUGCCUCCGGCAUAUUAUCAAGACAAUGGACAAUUAGGCUUCAAUGUCAAAUGCACGAUUAACGAAAAAUGAAACAGUUCUUGAACAUAGCUUCACAUAGAACAAAUUAAUAAUGCCAAUAGCAAUAGAACCCUGCACUCACCUGAAAAGAAAACAAGCAUCCACAGUGUUCAAAAUUGUUUAAUGAAAACUUGAUCCUCACAUGUAAUCUAAAAUGAAAACCCUUGUUGGUUGGGGGGGGGGGGCCCAAAUAAUUGAUCGAGAUACUGAUAAAAUUGCAGGUCAUGAGCCUUCCAGAAGAGCAUAUUUUGAUUAUGAAAGGCAGCAGCAGUAACACGUGUACUAUAAUUUGGAAGAUGUACCUAACUGAAUACCAAUUACGUACAAUUACAAUUUUGCAGCAAAUCAAAGUGAUGAGAACAUUAGUUGGCAAGCAAAGCUAUGACAGCAACUACAUAGAAAGAGUCAUUACUCCAGAUCGUACCUAUUCAUUUCGAUGGCAUCUUCCGAAACCAGUAAAGUUUCGCUUUGAAUUGAACAUAAAUUAUUUCUAACCUGCAGUUUGUAGUGUCAAGUGCUG